The sequence is a small nuclear RNA, 192 nucleotides long. Its record names the gene U2. It matches the Rfam family "U2 spliceosomal RNA". Rfam says of the family: U2 is a small nuclear RNA (snRNA) component of the spliceosome (involved in pre-mRNA splicing). Complementary binding between U2 snRNA (in an area lying towards the 5' end but 3' to hairpin I) and the branchpoint sequence (BPS) of the intron results the bulging out of an unpaired adenosine, on the BPS, which initiates a nucleophilic attack at the intronic 5' splice site, thus starting the first of two transesterification reactions that mediate splicing. The record is from Ensembl.
GAAGGGUGCACCGUUCCUGGCGGCACUGCAGUGCCAGGUCGAUGCGUGGAGUGAAAGGAGCAAGCCCCUCUUUCAGCUCCCGGUGCUAAAAAUCCGUUUAAUAUAUAGUCCUCACGUUGGAGAACAUAUCAGAUAUUAAACUGAUAAGAACAGAUACUACACUUGAUCUUAGCCAAAAGGCCGAGAAGCGAU